UGGGGAAACAGAUAAAACUGAAAGAGGUGGAGGGGACCCUCCUGCAGCCUGCAACUGUGGACAACUGGAGCCAGAUCCAGAGCUUCGAGGCCAAACCAGAUGAUCUCCUCAUCUGCACCUACCCUAAAGCAGCCUCAGGGACAACGUGGAUUCAGGAAAUUGUGGAUAUGAUU
Molecule: small RNA, 173 nt
Filed under: Pan troglodytes (chimpanzee)
Lineage: Eukaryota; Metazoa; Chordata; Mammalia; Primates; Hominidae
Description: processed transcript
Source: RNAcentral